This 374-nucleotide ribosomal RNA is filed under the name uncultured organism. Its description in RNAcentral is "bacterial SSU rRNA". It matches the Rfam family "Bacterial small subunit ribosomal RNA", at positions 526 to 896 of the family's 1533-position model. The record is from RNAcentral.
CGUAGGGUGCGAGCGUUGUCCGGAUUUAUUGGGCGUAAAGGGCUCGUAGGUGGUUGUUCGCGUCGGAAGUGUAAUCUUGGGGCUUAACCCUGAGCGUGCUUUCGAUACGGGUUGACUUGAGGAAGGUAGGGGAGAAUGGAAUUCCUGGUGGAGCGGUGGAAUGCGCAGAUAUCAGGAGGAACACCAGUGGCGAAGGCGGUUCUCUGGGCCUUUCCUGACGCUGAGGAGCGAAAGCGUGGGGAGCGAACAGGCUUAGACACCCUGGUAGUCCACGCUGUAAACGGUGGGUACUAGGUGUGGGGGUCCAUUCCACGGGUUCCGUGCCGUAGCUAACGCUUUAAGUACCCCGCCUGGGGAGUACGGCCGCAAGGCUA